GGGCCCGCACAAGCAGUGGAGUAUGUGGUUUAAUUCGAAGCAACGCGAAGAACCUUACCAGGUCUUGACAUCCAACUAACGAAGCAGAGAUGCAUCAGGUGCCCUUCGGGGAAAGUUGAGACAGGUGGUGCAUGGUUGUCGUCAGCUCGUGUCGUGAGAUGUUGGGUUAAGUCCCGCAACGAGCGCAACCCUUGCCAUUAGUUGCUACGCAAGAGCACUCUAAUGGGACCGCUACCGACAAGGUGGAGGAAGGUGGGGACGACGUCAAAUCAUCAUGCCCCUUAUGACCUGGGCUACACACGUACUACAAUGGCCGUCAACAGAGGGAAGCGAACACGCGAGUGGGAGCAAACCCCCAAAAGCGGUCUCAGUUCAGAUCGCAGGCUGCAACCCGCCUGCGUGAAGUCGGAAUUGCUAGUAAUCGCGGAUCAGCAUGCCG
RNAcentral lists this ribosomal RNA (439 nucleotides) under uncultured Bacillota bacterium. RNAcentral's name for it is "bacterial SSU rRNA". It matches the Rfam family "Bacterial small subunit ribosomal RNA", at positions 917 to 1359 of the family's 1533-position model. Lineage: Bacteria; Bacillati; Bacillota. The record is from RNAcentral.